AGGUCCACAAGCCCCGCGAAGGCCAAUACCUGGGUUGCUUUGUUCACCACAGCCUCGCCAGCCCUGAAUAAAGCUCAGCACAUAAUUUUCCUCAAGAGUGCUGUGGUGGCCCCACUGGAGCAGUGUGCUGGGAGGCACAAGACCCAAAGUACGGGUCCAGCUGUGUGACUGCAGACCAGACGCUUAACCUCCUGAAUCUCUCACCUUCCUGCCCAGCUCCCUCUCUCUCGCCAUCUGAGUCAGCCAGUCUGUCUGGCUUCUACCAGGUGCUGUGUGAGGUUCUAACACCAAGAUGGAGACCAGGUACCAGUCUUGGUGGUCCUUGUUGCCAGGGAGUCUCAAAUUGAGGCAGAGAGACUGACAGACUCAAAGUAUUAAAGAACUGAGACUCUUUAUUUGGAAGUAAUGAGGGAUUCCAAAAAUAGCCUUAGCGGUGCUUAACAGAUUGGAAAGACCAAAGGAACUGAAGCCAAAGAAGAUUGAGAGAGUUAAUAUGAAAUGGAAAAUUAAAAGGAGCGGGUAGUCCAGAAACAUGAAAAGAGCUGGAUGACAGCUACAUGAUCAAGGAGAAAACAGAAGAACUAGAGAAGGCACAGAAUCCAGGAUAAAUUGAUAUAGAGGCCAAGAAAGUUCGUCUUCCUUUUAGUACUAUUAUGUUCUGUAUUUCACAGAUAAAAACAUAUUCAGAAAUAUUCCUAAAGCUACCCAACUGGGAAGAAAAUCCCAAGGAACACUGUCUCAUUGCUCUGUGAUCAAGUACAAGCUCAAGAUUGGAUUAGUUAGGACUGGGAUUCCCCAUCACACCCUGUAGAUGAUGGUGACUAUUAAAGAAACGAUCUCGGCAGGGGUUUCUUCUCGCAAAAAAGAACAUGAUGGGAGCCUUUAGUUUGCAUACAUUCUACAUGAUGUACAUCUUAACCAAUUCUUACUGAAGGUCAGGAAUUUGGGGAAGACAUUAAUGCCAUUUUCACCACUGAAGGAAAGGUGAAUGACUGUGGCCAGUCACUGCUCCUGGUUUUUGUGACUCUGACAUUAUAUGAAAGGAGUUUGGGGAAAUGAAAUGGAAUAAAAGGGCCUCAGUUGAAUACAUGGUUCCACAGCCUACCACCCCGUCUGGGUCACGUUGGCAGUGCUGGGGGGAGCCCGGCCCAUCAGGGUGCUGUGCUGACAUUGGAUGCUUCCCAUGGUGGACUGGACUUCGAAGCCUGAGGCAGAGUGGCAGAAAGGAGACUGAAUAACUGCCACAGAGGCAGGCUGGGAACGUGGGCCAGGAGGGGAUCUCGGGAAAGAAUCCAAUGAAAUUAGUGAAUGGGUAGUGAAUGGCUUGCACUCAGCCAAGCUGGAUGCUAGGUACUAUCGCAGUUCAUAGGAUCAUUACGGCAACUGUCUGUGAUAGCAAUAGAAAUAUAACCCCUGGCGCAAAGUGGUUGCUCAACAAUUUUAUUUUUUGAAUAAAAGCAAAAAAAAAAAAAAAAAAAAAGAAGCCCAACAAAACCCAAAAAACUCCCCAAAACUGUUCAGCUGGGUGAUGAUAUUGUCCUUCCUUUUCAAAUGAGA
This is a long non-coding RNA of Eubalaena glacialis (North Atlantic right whale), 1557 nucleotides long. RefSeq lists it as uncharacterized. The transcript has 9 exons. Lineage: Eukaryota; Metazoa; Chordata; Mammalia; Artiodactyla; Balaenidae. The record is from RefSeq and is a predicted model, not a curated record.